Molecule: ribosomal RNA, 468 nt
Filed under: uncultured bacterium
Lineage: Bacteria
Description: partial 16S ribosomal RNA
Rfam family: Bacterial small subunit ribosomal RNA
Source: RNAcentral
GACGAACGCUGGCGGCGUGCUUAACACAUGCAAGUCGAACGGAAAGGCCCUGCUUUUGUGGGGUGCUCGAGUGGCGAACGGGUGAGUAACACGUGAGUAACCUGCCCUUGACUUUGGGAUAACUUCAGGAAACUGGGGCUAAUACCGGAUAGGAGCUCCUGCUGCAUGGUGGGGGUUGGAAAGUUUCGGCGGUUGGGGAUGGACGCGCGGCUUAUCAGCUUGUUGGUGGGGUAGUGGCUUACCAAGGCUUUGACGGGUAGCCGGCCUGAGAGGGUGACCGGCCACAUUGGGACUACGGGACGGACCAGAGUCCUACGGGAGGCAGCAGUGGGGAAUAUUGCACAAUGGGCGGAAGCCUGAUGCAGCAACGCCGCGUGCGGGAUGACGGCCUUCGGGUUGUAAACCGCUUUCGCCUGUGACGAAGCGUGAGUGACGGUAAUGGGUAAAGAAGCACCGGCUAACUACGUG